GGGCAAAGCAUUGCAAUGAUGAGACAGGCUACUGAAAACUGGACUUUUUAAAUGUGUUUUUACACACAUGAUAUACUCAGUGGCCCUAAUGUACUCCUUGUGUGACCACAUGCGCAUGCUUAGUGAUGUGACGCUGUGUUCCAUGUGUGAGAGAGAAGCUCAUUAUUUGGCAACCGGAGUGGCAGCGGGCAAGGCUGAAGAGGGGAUCCCCGGGAUCGUUUUUUUUUUUUUUUUUCUUUCUUCAUCGAAUUACAGGAGUAAAUAGUCUGUCAAAACAAGUGAAAAGCGUUACAGCGACACCUCUUCUCCGCAUUUGUGUUUUGGAAUCCAGGCGACGCUGUCUCCCUCCCACAGUUGCAGGCGGCUGUGGCCUCUCCCGCUGCCAGUUGGUCUCUCCAGGGAUUAAAACCACAGACCGGUUUAAACUGGUUCUCAGGGAAGUGCUUUAUGUCUCCUAUGGAAUCUUGGGAAGGGUCAUGUGGAGCUCUGCUCUGAUGUCACAGUGGAUGAAAAAGACCUUGAGUCAGCAGCUUUCUUGUUCUGAUGGGAGAAGUGUGUACACAGGUAUACAGUGGCUGCCCCAAUGAUUGUUUAGAACCUCUAUAAGGGGAGAGAUGAGGCAAUUAUAUUUAAAAGUCAGAAUGUUUGAAAGGAGAUAAGAGUAGGUCUCCCUGAGUGUACCUCAACUCUAGUCCAGAACGCACACACUUUCGAGGUCACACUGAACUCUGAUUCUUGUUUCAAUUCAUAACCUGCGUUUGUGUGUCUGUGAGAUAUUUGCAUGUCUGUUUGAGUGAUAACUUUAUCCAUGGUGUUGUGCGGUGUAAUAGUUGUGGGUGAAGCUGGUGUUUGAGCUGAGUGGGUCUCCCUUCUCCAUCCUCUAUUAUGGUAAUGAGGGAGGAAUUGGGUCAGCAUCUGGGGAACAGGCACUCAGAGACAGGUUGCAGUCAGACAGAGAGCCCCCCUCCCCAGUACAGCUGGAGGAAUUAAUACCCGGCCUGCUACUACAGUCCACACUCCACUGAUAUGGUGCCCUGGUGGGCAUUUAGGUUUGAUUUGUGCUGUUUUCAUUGUUUGUAUUGUAUGACCACACUCCUCAUUAUCAGCGUGUUAAACUUCCAACUCAUUUUGAGGCAGUGCGUCAUCACUAAAACUAUGCUGUCCAGACACUGACCUA
RNAcentral lists this long non-coding RNA (1177 nucleotides) under Salmo salar (Atlantic salmon). RNAcentral describes it as "lncRNA (ENSSSAG00000113953.1)". Lineage: Eukaryota; Metazoa; Chordata; Actinopteri; Salmoniformes; Salmonidae. The record is from RNAcentral.